CUACGGGAGGCAGCAGUGGGGAAUCUUGCGCAAUGCGCGAAAGCGUGACGCAGCAACGCCGCGUGGGCGAAGACGGCCUUCGGGUUGUAAACCCCUUUCAGGAGGGACGAAGGUUCGCCGGUGAAUAGCCGUGCGGAUUGACGGUACCUCCACAAGAAGCUCCGGCUAACUACGUGCCAGCAGCCGCGGUAAUACGUAGGGAGCAAGCGUUGUCCGGAAUCAUUGGGCGUAAAGCGCGCGUAGGUGGCCACAUAAGUCCGUUGUGAAAGUCAAAGGCUCAACCUUUGAAAGCCGAUGGAUACUGUGUGGCUAGAGUACGGAAGAGGCGAGUGGAAUUCCUGGUGUAGCGGUGGAAUGCGCAGAUAUCAGGAGGGACACCAAUAGCGAAGGCAGCUCGCUGGGACGUAACUGACACUGAGGUGCGAAAGCGUGGGGAGCAAACAGGAUUAGAUACCCCGGUAGUCC
This 465-nucleotide ribosomal RNA is filed under the name uncultured bacterium. RNAcentral describes it as "bacterial SSU rRNA". It matches the Rfam family "Bacterial small subunit ribosomal RNA", at positions 339 to 796 of the family's 1533-position model. The record is from RNAcentral.